CUACGGGUCGCUGCAGUGAGGAAUAUUGCGCAAUGGGGGCAACCCUGACGCAGCGACGCCGCGUGGAUGAUGAAGGCCUUCGGGUUGUAAAAUCCUGUCAGAUGGGAAGAAAUGUAUAUUGUCUAAUAGGCAGUGUAUUUGACGGUACCAUCAAAGGAAGCACCGGCUAACUCCGUGCCAGCAGCCGCGGUAAUACGGAGGGUGCGAGCGUUGUUCGGAAUUACUGGGCGUAAAGCGCGCGUAGGCGGCUUUGUAAGUCAGAUGUGAAAGCCCACGGCUCAACCGUGGACGUGCAUUUGAAACUGCAAGGCUUGAGUACUGGAGGGGGUAGUGGAAUUCCCGGUGUAGAGGUGAAAUUCGUAGAGAUCGGGAGGAAUACCGGUGGCGAAGGCGACUGCCUGGCCAGAUACUGACGCUGAGGUGCGAAAGCGCGGGGAGCAAACAGGAUUAGAUACCCUGGUAGUC
RNAcentral lists this ribosomal RNA (465 nucleotides) under uncultured bacterium. RNAcentral's name for it is "partial 16S ribosomal RNA". It matches the Rfam family "Bacterial small subunit ribosomal RNA", at positions 339 to 795 of the family's 1533-position model. The record is from RNAcentral.